This 253-nucleotide ribosomal RNA is filed under the name uncultured bacterium. RNAcentral describes it as "partial 16S ribosomal RNA". It matches the Rfam family "Bacterial small subunit ribosomal RNA", at positions 524 to 776 of the family's 1533-position model. The record is from RNAcentral.
UACGUAGGGAGCAAGCGUUAUCCGGAUUUAUUGGGUGUAAAGGGUGCGUAGACGGAGAAGCAAGUUAGUUGUGAAAUCCCUCGGCUUAACUGAGGAACUGCAACUAAAACUACUUCCCUUGAGUACUGGAGAGGAAGGUGGAAUUCCUAGUGUAGCGGUGAAAUGCGUAGAUAUUAGGAGGAACACCAGUGGCGAAGGCGACUUUCUGGACAGUAACUGACGUUGAGGCACGAAAGUGUGGGGAGCAAACAGG